Molecule: non-coding RNA, 234 nt
Organism: Vicia faba (fava bean)
Lineage: Eukaryota; Viridiplantae; Streptophyta; Magnoliopsida; Fabales; Fabaceae
Source: the annotation of a GenBank genome assembly
AUGGAGGAAAAUACUCCUGCGCUUCAUCCUCCUUGGACAUUGGUGAAAUCAAAUAAAGCUUCAGAUAGAGGGAAUACUGAUUGGUUUCAGAAAUUCCAUGAUGCAAAGAUCAUAGCUAACUGUUGGAAUCAGAAUAUCAGGGGCUCUGUGAUGUACAGUAUGUGGAUUAACUUGAUGAAGUUGCAGAGUAAGUUGAAGCCUCUGAUCAGAAAAUGUUCUAACAUUCAAAUCUAA